RNAcentral lists this ribosomal RNA (485 nucleotides) under uncultured bacterium. Its description in RNAcentral is "bacterial SSU rRNA". It matches the Rfam family "Bacterial small subunit ribosomal RNA", at positions 28 to 513 of the family's 1533-position model. The record is from RNAcentral.
GAUGAACGCUAGCGGCAGGCUUAACACAUGCAAGUCGAGGGGUAUUGGUUUUCGGACCAAGAGACCGGCGCACGGGUGCGUAACGCGUAUGCAAUCUACCUUUUGCAGAGGGAUAGCCCCAGAGAAAUUUGGAUUAAUACCUCAUAGUAUAGUACUUUGGCAUCAAGGAACUAUUAAAGUCACAACGGCAAAGAUGAGCAUGCGUCCCAUUAGCUAGUUGGUAAGGUAACGGCUUACCAAGGCUACGAUGGGUAGGGGUCCUGAGAGGGAGAUCCCCCCACACUGGUACUGAGACACGGACCAGACUCCUACGGGAGGCAGCAGUGAGGAAUAUUGGACAAUGGGCGCAAGCCUGAUCCAGCCAUGCCGCGUGCAGGAUGACGGUCCUAUGGAUUGUAAACUGCUUUUAUACAGGAAGAAACACUACUUCGUGAAGUAGCUUGACGGUACUGUAAGAAUAAGGAUCGGCUAACUCCGUGCCAGCA